AAUGAACGUUGGCGGCGUGGAUUAGGCAUGCAAGUCGAGCGAGAACCCCGCAAGGGGGGACAGCGGCGAAAGGGACAGUAAUGUGUAGAUUAUCUGCCCUCAGGUCCGGGAUAGCUGCGGGAAACUGCAGGUAAUACCGGAUAACAUCUCCGGAUCAAAGGUGUGAUUCCGCCUGAGGAUGAGUCUGCAUCCUAUUAGCUAGUUGGUGGGGUAAUGGCCUACCAAGGCAUUGAUGGGUAGCAGGUGUGAGAGCACGACCUGCGUCAUUGGGACUGAGACACUGCCCAGACACCUACGGGUGGCUGCAGUCGAGAGUCUUCGGCAAUGGGCGCAAGCCUGACCGAGCGACGCCGCGUGUGGGGUGAAGGCCUUCGGGUUGUAAACCACUGUCAGAGGGGAUGAAAUGCAGGUGGGUUCUCCCAUCUGUUUGACAUAGCCUCAGAGGAAGGACGGGCUAAGUUCGUG
RNAcentral lists this ribosomal RNA (465 nucleotides) under uncultured bacterium. RNAcentral describes it as "partial 16S ribosomal RNA". It matches the Rfam family "Bacterial small subunit ribosomal RNA", at positions 29 to 507 of the family's 1533-position model. The record is from RNAcentral.